AUUGAACGCUGGCGGCAGGCCUAACACAUGCAAGUCGAGCGGUAGCACAGAGAGCUUGCUCUCGGGUGACGAGCGGCGGACGGGUGAGUAAUGUCUGGGAAACUGCCUGAUGGAGGGGGAUAACUACUGGAAACGGUAGCUAAUACCGCAUAACGUCGCAAGACCAAAGUGGGGGACCUUCGGGCCUCAUGCCAUCAGAUGUGCCCAGAUGGGAUUAGCUAGUAGGUGGGGUAACGGCUCACCUAGGCGACGAUCCCUAGCUGGUCUGAGAGGAUGACCAGCCACACUGGAACUGAGACACGGUCCAGACUCCUACGGGAGGCAGCAGUGGGGGAUAUUGCACAAUGGGCGCAAGCCUGAUGCAGCCAUGCCGCGUGUGUGAAGAAGGCCUUCGGGUUGUAAAGCACUUUCAGCGGGGAGGAAGGCGGUGAGGUUAAUAACCUCACCGAUUGACGUUACCCGCAGAAGAAGCACCGGCUAACUCCGUGCCAGCAGCCGCGGUAAUACGGAGGGUGCAAGCGUUAAUCGGAAUUACUGGGCGUAAAGCGCACGCAGGCGGUCUGUCAAGUCGGAUGUGAAAUCCCCGGGCUCAACCUGGGAACUGCAUUCGAAACUGGCAGGCUAGAGUCUUGUAGAGGGGGGUAGAAUUCCAGGUGUAGCGGUGAAAUGCGUAGAGAUCUGGAGGAAUACCGGUGGCGAAGGCGGCCCCCUGGACAAAGACUGACGCUCAGGUGCGAAAGCGUGGGGAGCAAACAGGAUUAGAUACCCUGGUAGUCCACGCUGUAAACGAUGUCGAUUUGGAGGUUGUGCCCUUGAGGCGUGGCUUCCGGAGCUAACGCGUUAAAUCGACCGCCUGGGGAGUACGGCCGCAAGGUUAAAACUCAAAUGAAUUGACGGGGGCCCGCACAAGCGGUGGAGCAUGUGGUUUAAUUCGAUGCAACGCGAAGAACCUUACCUGGUCUUGACAUCCACAGAACUUUCCAGAGAUGGAUUGGUGCCUUCGGGAACUGUGAGACAGGUGCUGCAUGGCUGUCGUCAGCUCGUGUUGUGAAAUGUUGGGUUAAGUCCCGCAACGAGCGCAACCCUUAUCCUUUGUUGCCAGCGGUUAGGCCGGGAACUCAAAGGAGACUGCCAGUGAUAAACUGGAGGAAGGUGGGGAUGACGUCAAGUCAUCAUGGCCCUUACGACCAGGGCUACACACGUGCUACAAUGGCAUAUACAAAGAGAAGCGACCUCGCGAGAGCAAGCGGACCUCAUAAAGUAUGUCGUAGUCCGGAUUGGAGUCUGCAACUCGACUCCAUGAAGUCGGAAUCGCUAGUAAUCGUAGAUCAGAAUGCUACGGUGAAUACGUUCCCGGGCCU
Molecule: ribosomal RNA, 1361 nt
Filed under: uncultured bacterium
Lineage: Bacteria
Description: bacterial SSU rRNA
Rfam family: Bacterial small subunit ribosomal RNA
Source: RNAcentral